UGGUGGGUAGUUUGACUGGGGCGGUCUCCUCCUAAAGAGUAACGGAGGAGCACGAAGGUUGGCUAAUCCUGGUCGGACAUCAGGAGGUUAGUGCAAUGGCAUAAGCCAGCUUGACUGCGAGCGUGACGGCGCGAGCAGGUGCGAAAGCAGGUCAUAGUGAUCCGGUGGUUCUGAAUGGAAGGGCCAUCGCUCAACGGAUAAAAGGUACUCCGGGGAUAACAGGCUGAUACCGCCCAAGAGUUCAUAUCGACGGCGGUGUUUGGCACCUCGAUGUCGGCUCAUCACAUCCUGGGGCUGAAGUAGGUCCCAAGGGUAUGGCUGUUCGCCAUUUAAAGUGGUACGCGAGCUGGGUUUAGAACGUCGUGAGACAGUUCGGUCCCUAUCUGCCGUGGGCGCUGGAGAACUGAGGGGGGCUGCUCCUAGUACGAGAGGACCGGAGUGGACGCAUCACUGGUGUUCGGGUUGUCAUGCCAAUGGCACUGCCCGGUAGCUAAAUGCGGAAGAGAUAAGUGCUGAAAGCAUCUAAGCACGAAACUUGCCCCGAGAUGAGUUCUCCCUGACUCCUUGAGAGUCCUGAAGGAACGUUGAAGACGACGACGUUGAUA
This 605-nucleotide ribosomal RNA is filed under the name Escherichia coli. RNAcentral's name for it is "partial 23S ribosomal RNA". It matches the Rfam family "Bacterial large subunit ribosomal RNA", at positions 2259 to 2858 of the family's 2925-position model. RNAcentral also lists the same sequence under 1 other name. The record is from RNAcentral. Lineage: Bacteria; Pseudomonadati; Pseudomonadota; Gammaproteobacteria; Enterobacterales; Enterobacteriaceae.